Photinus pyralis (common eastern firefly) is the source of this 846-nucleotide long non-coding RNA. RefSeq lists it as uncharacterized. The transcript is spliced from 3 exons. NCBI's taxonomy places the organism in Eukaryota, Metazoa, Arthropoda, Insecta, Coleoptera, Lampyridae. The record is from RefSeq and is a predicted model, not a curated record.
AAUUGCAAAUGAACGACCAAACGCGAAAAAGUGAAAUAAGUAAAUGCGGACCGAAGUAAACACAAGUAGGAGUUGUGAUUAACUUUAGCCAGAUUACGGAAGAUGAUGGUUUGUUUCACGUAACCUAAAACUAAACGAGCGCGGUGCUAAAUGGUUAAGUAAAAACAAAAGCAAAAAGAAACCGUUAAUUAUUAAAGGAUCGCGAGCCCAUUACUGUUUAAAUUUCUGGGUGGAAAAGUUCAAUUCUUGUCUAUAUAAGACAUGGAAACAUUGGGUUGCGCUUGCGACCCAUGAGAAGAGCAAGGGAUGGCAAUUUAUGGCAUCAUAAUGUUGCAUAUGGGAGACGUCGUAGCACUACCUGAAGAGGAUACUGCCAUACUUUGUUAUUUUCGCGUGCCCGUAAAGCGAAUGGGCCACUGAAUUGGCGACGAAACCUCCUGCUACUGCAGCCAAUCUACAGCCACCGAACUGUUUUAAGUUGAAGAAAUCCACUGGCACUUGCUAAUAUUGUAGCGAUCAUAUGCCAAAAACAAUGUCCGGGCUAUCGUAUUGGAACAGGUGUUUAGUGACUACCUGAUUGGAUCUGGAGAAUAAAUCUUUCGUUAUUGACAUCUGCACAGAUUAUAAUACUAAUAUUGUAACCCAGUCUAAAUCUGUAAUCACAAAAGAUCGCUGAAGGUACAUUUUAGAAUAAUAAAACUGACAUGGUCAUUAGGCAUUACCCGUUACCGCAUUAGGUUUGAAUGUGGAUCACAACAUUAUUUGGUCGUUCAUAAUGUGGAUGAUUUCUUUACCUUUACCUCAUUAAAAUAAGCAAGUAAAACAUUAAGUUUUACCUAUACCCUU